GACAGAGGUCCCGAGCGUUAGGCGGAAUCACUGGGCUUAAAGCGUGUGUAGGCGGCUCUGUAAGUACCUUGUGAAAUCCCACGGCUUAACCGUGGAACUGCUCGGUAUACUGCGGAUCUUGAGCCACCUAGGGGCAGCCGGAACAAACGGUGGAGCGGUGAAAUGCGUAGAUAUCGUUUGGAACGCCAAUGGUGAAAACAGGUUGCUGGGGGUGUGCUGACGCUGAGACACGAAAGCCAGGGGAGCAAACGGG
This 253-nucleotide ribosomal RNA is filed under the name uncultured bacterium. RNAcentral describes it as "partial 16S ribosomal RNA". It matches the Rfam family "Bacterial small subunit ribosomal RNA", at positions 524 to 776 of the family's 1533-position model. The record is from RNAcentral.